CUUAAUGGGGGGGCAAUUCAGUGGCCGGCACCCCCGUUAUCCCCAGCCCCAGUAAUUCCAGUUAAAAUAGCGGAUAUUAAAAAGGUUGCAGUUAAACUGGUGGCAUGCGUGCCCGGUGCCUUUUUCGCGGGUACUUGUAUGUGCCGGCCCCUUCCCCCAAGGCACCCCCUCCCUCUCUCUGGCUUUGUGGGGAACCAGGACUUUUACUUUGAAAAAAUUAGAGUGUUCAAAGCAGGCCUUUGCUUGAAUACAUUAGCAUGGAAUAAUAGAAUAGGACGUUUUGGUUCUAUUUUGUUGGUUUCUAGGCCCCUCGUAAUGAUUAAUAGGGACGGUCGGGGGCACCAGUAUUCAGUUGUCAGAGGUGAAAUUCUUGGAUUUAUUGAAGACUAACUACUGGGAAAGCAUUUCCCAAGGACGUUUUCAUUAAUCAAGAACGAAAGUUAUGGAUCGAAGAGAUCUGCGCCCCCGCAGUAGAC
RNAcentral lists this ribosomal RNA (476 nucleotides) under uncultured Candida. Its description in RNAcentral is "partial 18S ribosomal RNA". It matches the Rfam family "Eukaryotic small subunit ribosomal RNA", at positions 539 to 1030 of the family's 1831-position model. The record is from RNAcentral. Lineage: Eukaryota; Fungi; Ascomycota; Saccharomycetes; Saccharomycetales.